ACCACUACUGAGGGUUUUGAAGUUUUCUCUUUUAAAUCUGCUCCUCCGGUGAAAUCCACCGCCACCGCCGUCGUUCCCGUCGCGCGGCCGCCCCACCAUCUCAGGUAAGCUCCCCUCUUCUCCCUCUUUCUGUACUCUGUCUCUCUGCCCCUCUAUCUCGAUCUUCCUCUAUCUCGAUCUCUCUCUCUUUUCUGGUCGGGCCGCGGCGGCCGCUGCGAGCCGCGACGGCGCAUGCAGCGCCGGGGGUCGCCGCCGCCCUGCUCUCCUCUCUCUUCCUCCAUCUCGUUCUAUCCGUCUCUUUCUAUUUCACUCUCUAUCUCCCUGGUUUAAUCUCCCUCUCUAUCUCUCUUUCUCAACCUCUCUCUCUGCUGUCAGUAGCCACCACGGCCGCCGUGGCGCCGGCGACCACCGCCGCCAGCCGUGCCUCCGCAUCAAAAUCGCAUUCCAGCAAACUUCCAAUCUAAUUUCUAUUUCAGUUUUAACAUCACAAACUAAUAAAUCUCAAACUAUUUUCUGUUCCAGGAAUCGGUAAUUCAAGAUGGUUUGAGAUGGUUUCAUCGGCAGUUCAUCUACAGCCCAAGACUCCCUUUUAAAGACUCAGCCUUUUAUUAUUGAAUUAACUGUUGUAAUUAAAUGUAUUCUCAAAGUGUUAAAGAAAAUUGAUGUUAUCUCUACUAUUCUUGAUUUCUAUCUACUGAGUGAUUACCGAGUUAUAGGAAGAAUACUACCUGCUUGCGUGCUGUGAUAACUGCUGGGGAUGAUUUAUAUUUUGGAUGGAUAUUUGCUUUGCUGUUUGGAAUUUACAGAAUGGGGAAAAUUUUGGUUCACG
Molecule: long non-coding RNA, 829 nt
Filed under: Salvia miltiorrhiza (redroot sage)
Lineage: Eukaryota; Viridiplantae; Streptophyta; Magnoliopsida; Lamiales; Lamiaceae
Description: long non-coding RNA (SMIL_LNC007697)
Source: RNAcentral